UGUAACUUACAGGGGUGGCCAACAAGGUCUGAGAUUAUACCCUUUGAACCUGAUCCGGAUAAUGCCGGCGUAGGGAGAGAAUAAAAGGUGUAU
Molecule: non-coding RNA, 93 nt
Filed under: Smithella sp. D17
Lineage: Bacteria; Pseudomonadati; Thermodesulfobacteriota; Syntrophia; Syntrophales; Smithellaceae
Also listed under: 1 other name
Description: TPP riboswitch aptamer (THI element)
Rfam family: TPP riboswitch aptamer (THI element)
About the family: Vitamin B(1) in its active form thiamin pyrophosphate (TPP) is an essential coenzyme that is synthesised by coupling of pyrimidine and thiazole moieties in bacteria. The previously detected thiamin-regulatory element, thi box was extended, resulting in a new, highly conserved RNA secondary structure, the THI element, which is widely distributed in eubacteria and also occurs in some archaea.
Source: Rfam by way of RNAcentral